CCUACGGGAGGCAGCAGUGGGGAAUUUUGGACAAUGGGCGCAAGCCUGAUCCAGCCAUGCCGCGUGAGUGAAGAAGGCCUUCGGGUUGUAAAGCUCUUUCGGCAGGAACGAAAUGGUUAGUGCUAAUACCACUGACUGAUGACGGUACCUGAAGAAGAAGCACCGGCUAACUACGUGCCAGCAGCCGCGGUAAUACGUAGGGUGCAGGCGUUAAUCGGAAUUACUGGGCGUAAAGCGUGCGCAGGCGGUUUCUUAAGUCAGAUGUGAAAGCCCCGGGCUUAACCUGGGAACUGCGUUUGAAACUGGGAGACUCGAGUGUGGCAGAGGGGGGUGGAAUUCCACGUGUAGCAGUGAAAUGCGUAGAUAUGUGGAGGAACACCGAUGGCGAAGGCAACCCCCUGGGUUAACACUGACGCUCAUGCACGAAAGCGUGGGGAGCAAACAGGAUUAGAUACCCUGGUAGUCCACGCCCUAAACUAUGUCAAACUGGUUGUCGGGGGAGUUAAUUCCCUUGGUAACGAAGCUAACGCGUGAAGUUGACCGCCUGGGGAGUACGGUCGCAAAGAUUAAAAACUUAAAAGGAAAUUGACGGGCNGAGAGNGCGACGACGACACAGGAGAG
Molecule: ribosomal RNA, 621 nt
Filed under: uncultured bacterium
Lineage: Bacteria
Description: bacterial SSU rRNA
Rfam family: Bacterial small subunit ribosomal RNA
Source: RNAcentral